RNAcentral lists this long non-coding RNA (2057 nucleotides) under Brassica rapa (field mustard). RNAcentral's name for it is "long non-coding RNA (BRAP_LNC008446)". The record is from RNAcentral. Lineage: Eukaryota; Viridiplantae; Streptophyta; Magnoliopsida; Brassicales; Brassicaceae.
UUUUUAUUCAUUCAACCCUUUUAAUAAAAAUCUACUUUUUAAAUUUGUUGAAUCCUUUGUUCUUUGGAACAUCGUAAUGCUACGAGAGUGAUCUCCGUAAGCACGGUCUUGUUCACUAGUGGGGCUGCCUCUCACGGACUAAGACCAACCCAGCAAGUAUCUGGCCUUCCGCAGCCUUAUACUGAAGAACCAUCGAUCCACCUUUCCUUUAAUCCAUCUUUGGGUCAAAGCUUAUCCUUUUCACCAACCUUCGAGUGCAUUCCUUGGGAGAUUUUCUAUUAUUUGGUAUCAGAGCACACUUGAGGGUUCGGUGUUAACUUAUGUCAUUCAUCAUUCUCAUCUUUCCAUCUUCUACAAAAAAAAAAAAAAAAAUCCACGAGAAAACAAGAGAUCAUUCCAUCUGAAGUUAAACCGAGACUGCUCCUCCAUCUCUCGUAAUGGCUCUAGGAGAUUGCUUCUCCAAAAGCAACCUGUUUUGAUCACUAGUGGGGCUGCCUCUCACGGUCACAGGUUCUAAACAUUAAGUCGGAUUUGAGGGCAAAUCCUUUUGAAGGAGGAGGGGAUGAUGUGACCUUGUUCAGGAACAAGCAAAUCAAGAGAAGUCCAAAAAAAAGAAAGGCUCACCAAGAGAAUACAAGCCAAUGUCGUAUAAUAUAUCAAUCUGACGGCAAUUCAGAGACCGUCGAUCAUGCAAAAGGAUGCGACCAGCCAAGGAAUUCUGCGAACACAAUUUCCAAAAUUCAGUCAACAGUCUUGGUCUUUGGUCAAGUCAAUAUUCCUAGUCAAGUCUUCAUAGUUUUAAGAGCUUUAUAGUUUCAAAGAUUGACUAGAUUAUUUAAUUUUACAGAUUGCCUAUUAUAUAAAGGUUUGCUUUGUAUUGUUUUUAUUCAUUCAACCCUUUUAAUAAAAAUCUACUUUUUAAAUUUGUUGAAUCCUUUGUUCUUUGGAACAUCGUAAUGCUACGAGAGUGAUCUCUGUAAGCACGGUCUUGUUCACUAGUGGGGCUGCCUCUCACGGACUAAGACCAACCCAGCAAGUAUCUGGCCUUCCGCAGCCUUAUACUGAAGAACCAUCGAUCCACCUUUCCUUUAAUCCAUCUUUGGGUCAAAGCUUAUCCUUUUCACCAACCUUCGAGUGCAUUCCUUGGGAUAUUUUCUAUUAUUGAUGAUGUGACCUUGUUCAGGAACAAGCAAAUCAAGAGAAGUCCAAAAAAAAGAAAUGCUCACCAAGAGAAUACAAGCCAAUGUCGUAUAAUAUAUCAAUCUGACGGCAAUUCAGAGACCGUCGAUCAUGCAAAAGGAUGCGACCAGCCAAGGAAUUCUGCGAACACAAUUUCCAAAAUUCAGUCAACAGUCUUGGUCUUUGGUCAAGUCAAUAUUCCUAGUCAAGUCUUCAUAGUUUUAAGAGCUUUAUAGUUUCAAGGAUUGACUAGAUUAUUUAAUUUUACAGAUUGCCUAUUAUAUAAAGGUUUGCUUUGUAUUGUUUUUAUUCAUUCAACCCUUUUAAUAAAAAUCUACUUUUUAAAUUUGUUGAAUCCUUUGUUCUUUGGAACAUCGUAAUGCUACGAGAGUGAUCUCUGUAAGCACGGUCUUGUUCACUAGUGGGGCUGCCUCUCACGGACUAAGACCAACCCAGCAAGUAUCUGGCCUUCCGCAGCCUUAUACUGAAGAACCAUCGAUCCACCUUUCCUUUAAUCCAUCUUUGGGUCAAAGCUUAUCCUUUUCACCAACCUUCGAGUGCAUUCCUUGGGAUAUUUUCUAUUAUUUGGUAUCAGAGCACACUUGAGGGUUCGGUGUUCACUUCUGUCAUUCAUCAUUCUCAUCUUUCCAUCUUCUACAAAAAAAAAAAAAAAAAAAAUCCACGAGAAAACAAGAGAUCAUUCCAUCUGAAGUUAAACCGAGACUGCUCCUCCAUCUCUCGUAAUGGCUCUAGGAGAUUGCUUCUCCAAAAGCAACCUGUUUUGAUCACUAGUGGGGCUGCCUCUCACGGUCACAGGUUCUAAACAUUAAGUCGGAUUUGAGGGCAAAUCCUUUUGAAGGAGGAGGGGAUGAUGUGAC